CCCUUAGAUGUCCUGGGCCGCACGCGCGCUACACUGAACGGCUCAGCGCGUUUUCCCUUCCCGAGAGGGACGGGUAACCUGCUGAACCCCGUUCGUGGUAGGGAUCGGGGCUUGCAAUUAUUCCCCGUGAACCAGGAAUGCCCAGUAAGUGCAAGUCAUAAGCUUGCGUUGAUUACGUCCCUGCCCUUUGUACACACCGCCCGUCGCUACUACCGAUUGAACGUUUUAGUGAGGUACUCGGACUGAGCCUCAGAAGAUUCACGUCUUUUGUGCUGCUCGGGAAGAUUCCCAAACUUGAGCGUUUAGAGGAAGUAAAAGUCGUAACA
Molecule: ribosomal RNA, 326 nt
Filed under: uncultured eukaryote
Lineage: Eukaryota
Description: partial 18S ribosomal RNA
Rfam family: Eukaryotic small subunit ribosomal RNA
Source: RNAcentral